CCCGGCGACCGGCGCACGGGUGAGUAACACGUAUGCAACCUGGCCGCCACAGGGGGAUAACCCGCGGAAACGCGGCCUAAUACCCCGUGACGCCACCGGAGGGCAUCCUCCGGUGGCCAAAGGAGCGAUCCGGUGGCGGAUGGGCAUGCGGCGCAUUAGCUAGACGGCGGGGUGACGGCUCACCGUGGCGACGAUGCGUAGGGGUUCUGAGAGGAAGGCCCCCCACACUGGGACUGAGACACGGCCCAGACUCCUACGGAAGGCAGCAG
Molecule: ribosomal RNA, 269 nt
Filed under: uncultured bacterium
Lineage: Bacteria
Description: partial 16S ribosomal RNA
Rfam family: Bacterial small subunit ribosomal RNA
Source: RNAcentral